AACGSGAAAGAACCUUACCUGGGCUUGACAUGUGCSUGAUCGGCGUGGAAACAYGUCUUCCCUCACGGGCAGGUUCACAGGUGGUGCAUGGCUGUMGUCAGCUCGUGUCGUGAGAUGUUGGGUUAAGUCCCGCAACGAGCGCAACCCCCGUCGUAUGUUGCCAGCAUUUAGUUGGGGACUCAUGCGAGACUGCCGGUGGCAAACCGGAGGAAGGUGGGGAUGACGUCAAGUCAUCAUGCCCCUUAUGUCCAGGGCUACACACGUGCUACAUUGGCGUAUACAAAGGGUUGCGAUACCGCGAGGUGGAG
This 308-nucleotide ribosomal RNA is filed under the name Patulibacter sp. RNAcentral describes it as "bacterial SSU rRNA". It matches the Rfam family "Bacterial small subunit ribosomal RNA", at positions 958 to 1267 of the family's 1533-position model. Lineage: Bacteria; Bacillati; Actinomycetota; Thermoleophilia; Solirubrobacterales; Patulibacteraceae. The record is from RNAcentral.